RNAcentral lists this long non-coding RNA (287 nucleotides) under Mytilus galloprovincialis (Mediterranean mussel). The record is from RNAcentral. Lineage: Eukaryota; Metazoa; Mollusca; Bivalvia; Mytilida; Mytilidae.
UGAAUAUAAAGUUAAAAUUUUAGCUCGGUGCCGUUGCCUUCAAUGUACAAAAUUCAGACAUAAUUUAUCCUGGUAUAUCCAAGAAGCACCUUUUCAUGAGGAAAGUUAUGUUCCUUGCUUUGCAAUGCGAGGAAAGUUAAUUAACUUUGCAAAAACAUCUUAAAAUACAUGUUUAUUGACCUUGCUUGAAUAGCAUUUACAUAACGAUAAUUGUUUGUUUUAAAAUGUUCAUUUAAUCAAGGAUCAUAAAAAAAAAAAUACUAUGUACAAUUGUAAAUAAAAAGGCC